This 22-nucleotide non-coding RNA is filed under the name Rattus norvegicus (Norway rat). The record is from RNAcentral. Lineage: Eukaryota; Metazoa; Chordata; Mammalia; Rodentia; Muridae.
UUCUCCACAAAAUGCCACCGAC